RNAcentral lists this ribosomal RNA (497 nucleotides) under uncultured bacterium. RNAcentral describes it as "partial 16S ribosomal RNA". It matches the Rfam family "Bacterial small subunit ribosomal RNA", at positions 28 to 507 of the family's 1533-position model. The record is from RNAcentral.
GAUGAACGCUGGCGGCGUGCCUAAUACAUGCAAGUCGAGCGAACAGACGAGGAUCUUGCUCCUCUGACGUUAGCGGCGGACGGGUGAUUAACACGAGGAUAACCUACCUAUAAGAAUGGGAUAACUUCGGGAAACCGGAUCUAAUACCGGAUAAUAUAUUGAACCGCAGGGUUCAUUAGUGAAAGACGGAUUUGCUGUCACUUAUAGAUGGAACCGCGCCGCAUUAGCUAGUUGGUAAGGUAACGGCUUACCAAGGCAACGAUGGGUAGCCGACCUGAGAGGGCGACCGGCCACACUGGAACUGAGACACGGCCCAGACUCCUACGGGAGGCAGCAGUGGGGAAUUUUGGACAAUGGGCGAAAGCCUGACGCAGCAACGCCGCGUGUGUGAUGAAGGCCUUCGGGUCGUAAAGCACUGUUAUCGGGAAAGAAAAGAACUGUACGAAUACAACGGUGCGAUGACGGUACCCACUGAAAAAGCACCGGCUAACUACGUG